Molecule: long non-coding RNA, 597 nt
Filed under: Takifugu rubripes (torafugu)
Lineage: Eukaryota; Metazoa; Chordata; Actinopteri; Tetraodontiformes; Tetraodontidae
Description: lncRNA (ENSTRUG00000029812.1)
Source: RNAcentral
CUAAAGUCCCCUAGUAGUCUGCAUCAGGAGCAAUUUCAACCAAACAAUCUGUGCCUAUCUGUGUGUAAUAUCCUGUACAGGCAUCUGGUCCUUUUUGUGAUUCUGAUUUAUUAUUUACAUUUCUGACGGAAUAGGUUCAACUUUCUGCUAAAUUAGAUACAGCUUAGAGCCUCUGGAAAGAUGUUUAUUGCAUUUGAAAUGUAAAAUCCCAUAAGGUGCCUCUUCCUUCUCUAAUAACCUUUUUUUUUCUUUUUUUUCCCAGAGAUAAGAUGAAGUAAAGGAGCUCACAUCGCCUUAGAGGGGAGCCAGCUGUAUCAGGUCACCCCACUUGGCACUGCUUUCACGGCGGCCAUCAAUUAGGUCAUGCAACGAUCGACAAACCAGGAAGUCACACAUCUGCGUAACUCUGUGGCGUUUCACAGAAGGUGAUUCACACUUAAUGUUCUUUGAUUGCUGCAAUUUAUUUAUUUAUUGCUCCCUGUGUCAUCGAUCAAAAUGGCAGAAUACGAACAGUACAAGAGAUGCAACUAAUCAUUCUUAAUGAGAAAAUGCUUCCAGUAAGAUUUAGUCAAUAUUGAUAUAGAGUGGUAUUUGACA